CUGCUGUUUUGGCAGCACAUACACUAAAAUAGGAAUGAGAUCAAGAAGAUUAGUAUAGUCUCUGUGCAAAUAUGACAUGCAAAUUUGAAAAGCAUUCCAUAUUAAC
This 106-nucleotide small nuclear RNA is filed under the name Anolis carolinensis (green anole). The record is from RNAcentral. Lineage: Eukaryota; Metazoa; Chordata; Lepidosauria; Squamata; Anolidae.